Herpailurus yagouaroundi (jaguarundi) is the source of this 3118-nucleotide long non-coding RNA. RefSeq lists it as uncharacterized. Lineage: Eukaryota; Metazoa; Chordata; Mammalia; Carnivora; Felidae. The record is from RefSeq and is a predicted model, not a curated record. The transcript is spliced from 2 exons.
AUCAGCCCUGAGCAGGCAAAAGGAGAGACCGACACAAACAGCAUGAGAACAACAAUCAAAGCCACAAAAUAUUUAGCUCCCCAGCUCUGUGCUUACUGGCCAGGAAAUGCUACCAAUUUUUCAGUGUUGUGCUCGACUGCUUCUUUUGCCACUAGCAAAAAAGAAUCGAACAGUGUGUUUCAAGGCUGGGGGAGUUGACUGUGUUAAAGACCAUUAAAUGCUUUCGACUAUUUAUGCAUACCUUUUGAUGGCUGUUCAUUUAAAAAAAAAAAAAGUUUUCAUUGUUGUGUAUCCAGAAAGCAUUUUAUAUAGUCCAGUAAAAUCUGUCAUUUUGUUUUAAGGAAAUAUGUCAUAUCAGGUGAAACAAUAUUUGUAUUUCAAAGCAUGUCUACAUAAAGACAACCCAGUGAUAUUUUCAAGACAAAUGGAAACGGUGUCCCUUGCAACAAAGAAGCUUAUUUAGUGACACUGAUUUUACAUUCAAUUUCAAGGGACACAAAACCAGGAAUAGCCUGUCACUGAGAAUGGUUUUUGAACAUGUCUACUCCAUGCAGUGUGCACACCUGUAAUUCUCAUGCUCCUAUCUGCAACAGCACUCUGUUUUUAGAAAUUUUUAGUUAUAUCGUCUAUUCACCCUCAUGGGGGAAAAAGACAAUUACCCACAGACAACAGAUCUAAAACCCCCUUAAAGUUUAGCCAGUAGUGUGCUCAUUGCCUGUGGCACUGAACUACGGUAAAUGAUCACGCCCAAAGGGACACCACUUGGUGACCCCAUGAGAUCAAAAGUUGACUGAAUGGACAUGCUUGCAUGUCCACAAGUUUGCUUUCCAACUUACACCAUCUCUAUUUCUAUGACCUCUGACAGAGCAAAGGAGCAUUUAUCUACAGUGACAGACAAAACCUCCAAGAAAAGGAAGAUCAGGAAUCUGCACAACAUUUGCUCUUUGCUCUGAAGCCAAUACACCAGAAAGAAACCACAAGGAAGCGAUGGUUGGCAAUAAUCCCUUUCUGCCUCUGAUCCAUAGUAAAUAUUUCAUUGAUAAAUGCUCCAGGAAAACCAGCCAUGUCUAUGCAACCAGGGUUCGCCCUCCCACACACUCACCUGAGCAUGCCGUACCUGAUAGCUGAGCAGCCCUAGGUAUGUUCUCUGCCCCAGAAAUAACCCAGUUCCCUGAACAAAUCCUCCAGAAAUCCCAGCUGUCAGCAAAGAAGGUUCUGGAAACUCUGCUCCCCUGACCAUUUCUAAGCGUUUCUCUUGUCAGCCCUCAGCCCAAGCUGGAAACACAAACUUACUUGCUUAUCUCUUUCCUUUGUGUUUGCUUCCCUGAGAACAUAAGUCUAAAAAUACAAUGAGCAAAGUAACGUAUUGAUCUGAUGAAAAAGCAAAAAAAAAAAAAAAAAAAAAAAAAAUCACCUUAAGUCAAGAGUAUAUUCUGAAUCAGCUAGUUACAGCUGCUGGAAGGGAACAAAAAUCACUAUUUUUCUGUGUUUAAAUACUUGCACAAGAAAGCGGGGGCUUUUUUCCUCCCACUGCUUUGAGAAGCAAGGAUGCUUCCAGACGUGUACUUUUCGAAGUGGGUUCAUAAGUUACUUCUCCUUGUUUUUAGCAGAAGCAGUUCUGACUGAAAGGUUCAUCUCAUUAACUGAAGCAGCUGGGAAGCUUCCCCUACCUAGGGAAGCUAUAUGUCUUCACAAAGGUUUAAGUUCUUUUCUCUGCCACUGCAUUUCAGAUCAGUACAACCAUCUUAAUCUGAAGACGUAUUUCCCAGAAUAUGGAAAUAGAGCAUAGGAUUUUAGGUGUGUCUUAUGAUCCCCUGUGGGAGGCCAUACUUCAGGCAGCAAGAAUCUAGCAAGGGGACAAGAACUCACUUGUACUUACUCUGGUUGAACACAGCAUCACUUUUCAAGCCCAGGGAAGAAAGGCAGUGAGGAAAGGGGCCAGGGCUGUGGGGCAAGUUACACAGUCGUUAUUUUUGUGUCCUUUCUUUGUCCCUCUCCUAUGUGCGUGACCCUUAUGCUGGUUACCUUCACCCCCUACACCCGGCAUCAGUUGUCCUUGACUGAUCUUCCUGUCUAAAGAAGCAGAGUGCAGUAAAAAGCAAGACCAGAUAUCUUGGGUGUGAGGAAAGGCAGAAGACCAGAUGAAGAGUUGUGGCUUGAUUUGUCGUUUUAGCCAGGAUAAAAUUUUUGCUCUGAAAUCGAAAUGAGCUCGUCCAUAAGUGGGAGGUAACUUAUUCUAAACAAGUUGCUGAAAAUAGGGAACCAGACCCAAGAUUCUCCAGUGAUGAGGAAAGGGGAAAUCUCUGCUUUCUGGGUGUAGAGUAGCAAGGUAGGAUAGCAAAUAUGAACUUGGAGAACAAGAGAGGAGAAAUUGAGUUAGAAAUCCACAGAGGUUAACAAUUAAGCAUCAGAAAGGUCUUGACACAUAACCAGGAAUGUAUUGAGUGUUCCCUCUACCAGGUUCUGUGCUAAGCACUCUGUGUUUAUUUCCUGUUUCUUACUUCUGAUAAUAACCUGGUGAGAUCAAAGCUGUCAUUAUCUUCAUUGUACAGGGGAAGAAGUUGUGUCUCAGGUUAGUUGCCCACAUCCUAUAGCUAGGACACAGGCUAGGCUCCAAAAGCCAUUAUACAUCUGUGUUUUUUUUUGAAUGACACAGUAUUGUUUCUCCUUUUUUCCAUUUGAAAAAUACAGAAAAUGCAGGCAAGUAAGUAUGAGCCAUUAUUCCACCCUGUAAAAUGGAUGUAAAACAGCACUGACCACUAGAAAUACAAUGUAAGCUACUGUGGUGGCUUACAACUUAAAAUUUUGAGUAGUCACAUUCAGAAAGUAGAAAAACAGGGUAAAUCUAUUUUAAUAUGUUUCUUAACCCUCCCACCACAACUAGAGGUGGGAAAAAGGGCUGGUGUCUUUUCUCCUUGCUUUGAAAGAUAAUUUUGUUAUAGGAAAAUAGAGGAUUAGGCAUACAGGCACCCACCACAGGUACUUGUGACAUGUGCUUCCAUGGGCCAUGUAAUAGAAGUUAGCCUCUGGUUGGAAGCAAGGGGGAACAAACCAGCCCCCUUGUAAAAUUUGUCAUUUUAUAAGGUAAUGGCUCACUUUUAGAUUUGAAAAAAAAAAA